This 493-nucleotide ribosomal RNA is filed under the name uncultured bacterium. Its description in RNAcentral is "partial 16S ribosomal RNA". It matches the Rfam family "Bacterial small subunit ribosomal RNA", at positions 29 to 507 of the family's 1533-position model. The record is from RNAcentral.
ACGAACGCUGGCGGCGUGCUUAACACAUGCAAGUCGAACGGAAAGGCCUGUCCUUCCUUGUGUUGGACGGGUACUCGAGUGGCGAACGGGUGAGUAACACGUGAGUGAUCUGCCCCCAACUUGGGUAUAAGCCUGGGAAACUGGGUCUAAUUCCCGAUAGGACUGCAGGGUGGUGCCUGUGGUGGAAAACGAUUUUCUAGUGGUUGGGGAUGAGCUCGCGGCCUAUCAGCUUGUUGGUGGGGUAAUGGCCUACCAAGGCGGCGACGGGUAGCCGGCCUGAGAGGGUGGACGGCCACAUUGGGACGGAGAUACGGCCCAGACUCCUACGGGAGGCAGCAGUGGGGAAUAUGGCACAAUGGGCGGAAGCCUGAUGCAGCGACGCCGCGUGGGGGAUGACGGCCUUCGGGUGGUAAACUCCUUUCGACCGCGAGGAAGCCGCCUGGUUGGAAGGGUGGUGACGGUAGUGGUAGAAGAAGCACUGGCUAACUACGUG